This 88-nucleotide transfer RNA is filed under the name Mycobacterium longobardum. RNAcentral's name for it is "Mycolicibacter longobardus tRNA-Leu". It matches the Rfam family "tRNA". From Rfam's summary of the family: Transfer RNA (tRNA) molecules are approximately 80 nucleotides in length. Their secondary structure includes four short double-helical elements and three loops (D, anti-codon, and T loops). Further hydrogen bonds mediate the characteristic L-shaped molecular structure. tRNAs have two regions of fundamental functional importance: the anti-codon, which is responsible for specific mRNA codon recognition, and the 3' end, to which the tRNAs corresponding amino acid is attached (by aminoacyl-tRNA synthetases). tRNAs cope with the degeneracy of the genetic code in two manners: having more than one tRNA (with a specific anti-codon) for a particular amino acid; and 'wobble' base-pairing, i.e. permitting non-standard base-pairing at the 3rd anti-codon position. Lineage: Bacteria; Bacillati; Actinomycetota; Actinomycetes; Mycobacteriales; Mycobacteriaceae. The record is from RNAcentral.
GCGGGCGUGAUGGAAUUAGGCAGACAUGAUGGCUUUAGGUGCCAUUGCUCGAAAGAGCGUGAGGGUUCGAGUCCCUCCGCCCGCACCA